RNAcentral lists this unclassified non-coding RNA (408 nucleotides) under soil metagenome. RNAcentral describes it as "partial contains 5.8S ribosomal RNA, internal transcribed spacer 2, and large subunit ribosomal RNA". The stretch from base 1 to 120 matches the Rfam family "5.8S ribosomal RNA", at positions 35 to 154 of the family's 154-position model. The record is from RNAcentral.
GAUGAAGAACGUAGCGAAAUGCGAUAAGUAAUGUGAAUUGCAGAAUUCAGUGAAUCAUCGAAUCUUUGAACGCACCUUGCGCUCCUUGGCAUUCCGAGGAGCAUGCCUGUUUGAGUGUCAUUAAAUUCUCAAGACCUGUCUGCUUUUUUGAUAGGUAUUGGAUUUUGGGGGUUGCAGGCUGUUUCAAAUAAAUAGCCUUGCUCUCCUUGAAUGUAUUCGUGGAGAAAAGCCAUUGAACUCCAUUGGUGUGAUAAAACCUAUCAAUGCCAGGAGCAAUAUCACUACUUCUCUCUGCUGUCUAACUGUGACUGUCUGUAUUAAUUAGUAUGGAUGGGGACAACUUGACCAACUUGACCUCAAAUCAGGUAGGACUACCCGCUGAACUUAAGCAUAUCAAUAAGCGGAGGA